GUAGGUGGCAAGCGUUGUCCGGAAUUAUUGGGCGUAAAGCGCGCGCAGGCGGUUCUUUAAGUCUGAUGUGAAAGCCCACGGCUCAACCGUGGAGGGUCAUUGGAAACUGGAGAACUUGAGUACAGAAGAGGAAAGCGGAAUUCCACGUGUAGCGGUGAAAUGCGUAGAGAUGUGGAGGAACACCAGUGGCGAAGGCGGCUUUCUGGUCUGUAACUGACGCUGAGGCGCGAAAGCGUGGGGAGCAAACAGGGAUUAGAUACCCUGGUAGUCCACGCCGUAAACGAUGAGUGCUAAGUGUUAGGGGGGUUUCCGCCCCCUUAGUGCUGCAGCUAACGCACUAAGCACUCCGCCUGGGGAGUACGGCCGCAAGGCUG
RNAcentral lists this ribosomal RNA (374 nucleotides) under uncultured organism. RNAcentral describes it as "partial 16S ribosomal RNA". It matches the Rfam family "Bacterial small subunit ribosomal RNA", at positions 527 to 896 of the family's 1533-position model. The record is from RNAcentral.